This 274-nucleotide ribosomal RNA is filed under the name uncultured bacterium. RNAcentral's name for it is "partial 16S ribosomal RNA". It matches the Rfam family "Bacterial small subunit ribosomal RNA", at positions 523 to 796 of the family's 1533-position model. The record is from RNAcentral.
AUACGGAGGGUGCAAGCGUUACUCGGAAUCACUGGGCGUAAAGCGCGCGCAGGCGGUCUUUUAAGUUGGAUGUGAAAGCCUACGGCUCAACCGUAGAACUGCAUCCAAAACUAUUAGACUAGAGUGUGGGAGAGGAAGAUGGAAUUAGUUGUGUAGGGGUAAAAUCCGUAGAGAUAACUAGGAAUACCAAAAGCGAAGGCAAUCUUCUGGAACACUACUGACGCCGAGGCGCGAAAGCGUGGGGAGCAAACAGGAUUAGAAACCCCUGUAGUCC